GCGCGCGGCGGCAGGGAGAGGGAAACGCAGUGCCGGUGCUGGCGGCAGGGGAGGGGAAGGCGGCGGCGGCGCAGGCGGCAGGUUGAGGGGAAGGCGGCGGCAGCACAUCAGCCGCAGGUUAUCCCCCUCCCCUUGCCCUCUCCUUCCCUCUUCUCUGUAUUUUUCUCUCUCUUUUUUGGAUUUUUUUCAGAAAUUUAGAGUAAUUUCAAAUUUGAAUGUGGUAGGUGGGUGCCACGGACCCUGAAUGCUCCGUGCGCUAGCAUUGGUAAUGGCAGCGCACUGGUACUGGCAGCCCAUGGAUGACCACCGGCAUGACUGUUAUCACGAGCGAUGCAAGCACAACGAUUGCAACGCUCUGCAGCGCUGACAUGUUUUGGCGCAAAUGGCU
RNAcentral lists this long non-coding RNA (388 nucleotides) under Oryza brachyantha (malo sina). RNAcentral describes it as "long non-coding RNA (OBRA_LNC003349)". The record is from RNAcentral. Lineage: Eukaryota; Viridiplantae; Streptophyta; Magnoliopsida; Poales; Poaceae.